UUCGGAUUGUAGUCUGCAACCCAACUACAUGAAGCUGGAAUCGCUAGUAAUCGCGGAUCAGAAUGCCGCGGUGAAUACGUUCCCGGGUCUUGUACACACCGCCCGUCACACCAUGGGAGUCGGAAAUGCCCGAAGUCUGUGACCUAACCGUAAGGAAGGAGCAGCCGAAGGCAGGUCGGAUGACUGGGGUGAAGUCGUAACAAGGUAUC
Molecule: ribosomal RNA, 209 nt
Filed under: uncultured bacterium
Lineage: Bacteria
Description: partial 16S ribosomal RNA
Rfam family: Bacterial small subunit ribosomal RNA
Source: RNAcentral